UACGGAGGAUGCGAGCGUUAUCCGGAUUUAUUGGGUUUAAAGGGUGCGUAGGCGGGAUGCCAAGUCAGCGGUAAAAAUGCGGUGCUCAACGCCGUCGAGCCGUUGAAACUGGCGUUCUUGAGUGGGCGAGAAGUAUGCGGAAUGCGUGGUGUAGCGGUGAAAUGCAUAGAUAUCACGCAGAACUCCGAUUGCGAAGGCAGCAUACCGGCGCCCUACUGACGCUGAUGUGCGAAAGCGUGGGGAUCAAACAGG
RNAcentral lists this ribosomal RNA (252 nucleotides) under uncultured bacterium. RNAcentral's name for it is "partial 16S ribosomal RNA". It matches the Rfam family "Bacterial small subunit ribosomal RNA", at positions 524 to 776 of the family's 1533-position model. The record is from RNAcentral.